UCCCCGUUACCGAGGCAGUCUGAUUAGAAAAAUUCAACUAAUCACAAGGGUUGCGCUCGUUGAUGGACUUAACCAAACAUCUCACGACACGAGCUGAAGACGGCCAUGCAUCACCUGUCACUUGGCUCCCAAAGGCACACUCUGCUUUCGCAGAAUUUCCAAGGAUGUCAAGCCUGGGUAAGGUUCUUCGCUUACCUUCGAAUUAAACAACACGCUCCACCGCUUGUGCGGGUCCCCGUCAAUUCCUUUAUGUUUUAGUCUUGCGACCGUACUCCACAGGCGGGAUGCUUAACGCGUUAGCUUCGCUACAUACCGGGUCGAUACGGCAUACAGCUAGCAUCCAUCGUUUACGGCGUGGACUAA
This 363-nucleotide unclassified non-coding RNA is filed under the name uncultured bacterium. RNAcentral's name for it is "contains 16S-23S intergenic spacer region". The record is from RNAcentral.